UUAUUUCUGAAUUUCAUUAAUUUGUGUCAAAACAUCUAGCACUGUAAGCUUAUAGAUGGGCAUACAGGAUGACUUAUAAAAUCACUACUUACUAUCUUCCUAUCAUGGUAUUAAAACUUCAUUUUUUAUAUUUGCAACUCAGAAUCCAAGAUUCACUAAAAUGAUUCCAGCCUCCCAGCUCAACCAAUAUAUAGCAUAGCUGCAAAACAUGGGAAAAUCUAGAACAUUGUCUUUUUUAUUAUUGAAUUCCAUAGAUUGGGCCAAUAUCAACUUUCAUGGUCUGUCAUUGCUAAGAAGCCAAAAGCUCUUUACACUGCCUGUGAAAUGAGAGAAAGAAUCUUUAGAUACUUCAACUUUAAACAGAAAAUCCAGAGAAAAAAUUAAGGAAGAUGUUUUUUUGUUGUUGUUGUUGUGGUUAGUUGGUUGGUUGUUUUUUUUUUUCCUCCUCUUAGUGAUUAUAGUGGAAAGAUAUUUUUUGCUAAUUUUGCAUGCUGGAUUGGAAAUUUAAAGGACCAUUUCUCUCCUUUAAUAUCUCAGUUUUCUUGACAUGUAGAAAUCUUGCUAAUCCAGAAUUCCAAUUUAUUUAUUUUCUUUUAUAUUAUCAACAUAACACAUUUGAGAAAGAGAAUACAACAGAGUAUUCUUUCUACCUAGUGGGAAUGGAGUUAGAUGUCAUUUACACAGGGCUAUACAAUGAUUAAUAUCUGCAGAAAAAUUAGACCAAAUGAAAUGUGCUGGAAUAGGUUUGAUUUAUAUUGCCUUCAUCAUCCUGGUUUUAGAUGAAAUGGUUAUUGUUCUCCACCCCUGCUGAAAGAAAAGAGUCUUAAACUUUAAUAAUCACAGCCUUGUGAUGCUACAAGAGAGCUCAUUUGUUUGAAAUAUCUGUUUUCUGAUCUUGCCUUGCCAAUUGAAAUAGGGACUUUUUUUUCACUGUGGCCUUCCUAGAAAGUUAUAUACAGAGAACAGAGAGUUCAGAAUAUCUCUCUUUGGAGCAUUCUAAGUGAUCCAAGGAAUCAAAUUGAAGCCAAAAUAUUUUUUAGUUCUAAAUAAAAUGAGCUUGGGAAGAACAUUUCAAGUAUAGAAAGAAAGAUGGUGGGUAGACUUUUCUUUUUUAUUUGUCUUGUCAUUGCAUUUUACCCGGUUUUUAAUAGUAAAGGCUCUUUCAGACACCCCUUUUCUGCAUAAAGAUAAAGGGAAUGUCAGUUUUAUAAUGUGUCAUCUCUGGGUGGAUGGGUGAACAUCUCUAAAUGAGAUAGAUCCUAAUGAUACCCAAUUAGAAAUAAAGUUAUGAGUUUUCCCAGUGACAAUAACAUAUUUAUUUUUGGCUCCUCAGGCUUUUGCUCAGCCUGGUUCAAAGGAAAGUAAAUGUGCCUUUGACAUUUAAUUAUUGUGUUCUGAGGAGUCAAGGUGAUUCCAUUUAUUUAAAAAAAAAAGGAGAGCAAAAUGAAUAACAACCAACCAACAAUGGAAUGGUCUAUGAUGCAGAGGAGCAAAGCCAUGUUAAAUCAAUAAUCUUCUGGGCCAGUAAACUUCUGAUGGGCAGCCAGUUAGAUUCAAGCAGAAGCACAAGGCUUUGAGAUGACUGAAGAUCUACAAAACAAUAAAAUAAAUCCAAAGCUUUAGGAAAACACUAGUGGAAAAGCCAAAGAAUAGAUGGAUAAACUAGGGAAUAAAGAAUGUGUUUACCAUGUUAAUGGGCAAAAACUAUAUUGAUAUGCACAAGGGAAAAUGAAGAUUGUCAAUUAUCCAGAUAAUUAUUUGAAUGGAAGGGACCAACAUAAAAGCUUGCUAUAAUGAUCAAGAAAUAAUUACUUAAAACAAAUCUAUGCCACACAGAGUGAAGUGGAGCAUUGGCAAUUAUCUGGUGAAUUUGGGCAAUCCAUCAAGAUGAAUUGACUAGGAAAUUUACCUAUGUCUGAUUCAAUCUACCCUUUUCCUCCCUAGGUAGACUACAUUCACUGCCUCAAUUCUCUGGCCCAUUGCCAAAUCUCAACUUCUCUGGGCUAUGCUAACCUGGCUAUUGGCAGCUCCUAAAGUCUGGUUGAGAUUUGAUUUGUUUAUUGGUUAAAGGAUUUCAGGCUCCCAGGCUAUCUGCCUCAUUUCAUUUAGUAAUUCACUCUCAUAAAAAAUGAGAAGGGGGGAAAUAUGACCUGAACUAGUGACUAUCAGGAUUGUCCCAGAGGGCUGAUUUUCUUGUUAAUCAAUCUGAUAUAAACACUCCUAAUGCCAGCCAGAGGAUUUAGUAACUUUCCUUCAGCUACCUCCUCUGUCUUGUCAGUUUAAUUUUAGAGCUGACCUUUUUCUAAUUUACAUGCUUAUAUGCCUUAUAAAUCAAUAGAGUUCCAUGUUCUUUCUCCAAUACUAGCAGUCCUAUCAUAAAUGAAAUCAGUCCAAAGAAAAGUAAUUGAAAGCAGUUGUUUUCAGACCUCAGGUGAGUGAGGUGGUGUGCACCUGGAACUAGAUUCCUCUUAUAUUCUAUUGAGAGGCAUCUGUUGUAGAUUUGGGGAAAGAACAAAUGAAAGAAUCAACAUUCUAUUAUGAAAGACAAUCACUAGCAUAAGAAAGCUUGUGUCUUAAUUGUGGAUAGAAGUACAUUAAAGCAUUGAUUGCGCUGGGUCCCUGGUAUAAAAUGUAAAAUGUGUGAAAUUCUAAUAUAUGUGUAUAAUAUUCAUGCACUUUCUCAGUCUACUUGUGGGCCUAAUAUUCAAUCAAGUUGGCACUAUAUACUUAAAAAGUUUUUUUGAUUACAGAGGUUAAAAAAAUUCCUAUUUAUUCACUUGUGAAUUGUUAACUGAUGCAAAAAGUAAUGGAUCACUGUUUUGUUAAUCAUAGCAGACUUACAAUUGACCAAGGCACAUCCACACAGACUUCAAUAAUAAAUAUUCCUUUUGCACUGGUUGCAGUAGCACACGCCAGUAAUCCCUGCUUAAUGGAAAAUCAGAAGUUCAUGGAUUACUUGAGCUCAGGUUUUCUGAGCUUCAAUGGGACUAAAGUUAAACGAGUGUCUGCAUCAUUAAGUCUGGCACUAAUAUCUUGAUCCCCUGAAAUUGAGAACCAGACUGUCUAAAAAGGGGCAAAUCAACUCAGAUUACAUAUAGAAUAGGUCAAAGUUUACAUGAUAGUCAAUAAAGGGAUUGGACCCAUUAAUGGCCACUGUACUUACAGCUUGGGCAAGAUAGGUCUUUCUUGAAAUAAGCAAAUAAAUCCAUUUUUUAUUCUGAGUGGAUGUAUCUGUGUUUGUGUAUGUAGGAAUGUAUGUGUGUCUGUGUUAUCACUAAAUUAUUAUUGCCACCAAAUAUACAAGGCUAAGUUCUUGUACUUCUCAUAGGGAGAACUCUGGAUAAAGGUGCAGAAGUAAUAUGAGUAGUAGGGUGUAAGAGAACUGUAUUUCAUUCAAGCUGUCAACAUUAUAACAGGAACUCAGAAAUGAAACACUUUUUGACAAGAAAUACUUAGGAAGCCCUUUGAUUUCACAUGACCCUUUCAAAAACAUUUUUCAGGCUUAACAAGAUUCAGAGCAAGGUACUUUUAAAAGCUCAAUGGAAUAAGGAAGAAAUUCAUGAAACAGAAAAAUAAGACAGAAAAUUGAGAUUUUACAGGUGAUUCUCAAAUCAGUUACUUCAGGUUAUAAAGAUGUUAUAAAAUUAUAGAGUUGCUAUAUUUUUUCAAAAUUUUUCAGCUAACAAACAAUGUAGACAUAUCUCCCUUUUGUUUCAUAGUGAGGACAUUUCAAGGUUCUGAUGGGUCUGGGUUACUGAAAUCUGUGUACAAUUUGUGUUGAUAAUAAUUCACAUUUACCUAUUACUUUUAUUUUCUAAAAAUCAAAUCCCCCCAAACCCUCCCCCAAAACAACAACAAAAAACUUUUACAUAAUCUCAUUUAUUAACAUUUUUGUGACAUAAUGCAUUGCCAAACUUAUCCCAGUUUUCAGUUGGAAAACUUAAAUAAUUAGAAAAAUUUAAUAAUACCUUUGAGGUUUCACACAGAAGCAAAAAAUGGGGCAAGUCCUAAAGCUAUGAUUGUCUCCUUCUCAAUCCAUUAAUUUCUGUGUACACUGAGUACUAUGACGACCAGAGCAACUACUCAGAGCUUUACUUACUGACUUUAAACCCAAUCUCGAUAUGUUUGUUUUACAAAUUAUCAAAUCUAUUCCAAACUUAUGUAAUAAGGUCCCAGUUCAAAAUUUUUCACUGUAUUAAUGGAACUUUAAAACUUAAAAGCUUCUUUUUCAUACUUCCUAUCAAAUAAAAAUUUUUAAAAAGGGCAGCUGAAAGAAUAAAUUGACUAGCUCCACAUCUUUUCCUUCUCCUUUUCUUCCUCUUUCUCUUUCUUCAAAACUGCUCAUAAAUAUUCUUGUAACUAUUUUCACUUGGUAUUCCAACAUUAUGGUUUUUGUAGCAAAACACAGAUGUGUUCUUAAAAGAAAUACUGUUUUUAAAAUAUAGGCAUACCCUACAUAAACCAUAUCUUUAAAAAUACCUACUCACAAUAAUACCAUGAUAACUCAAACUCAUGACAUUCUUGUCAAAUUCUGCUGUAAUAUUAUUCAGCAAGUCUGAGCAAACAUUUGAGCCCUAUUGGUAUAAACUCUUCUGGGGAUCAUUCAGUUGUUGCCUGAAUCUUAGUAAUUAUGUAUUCACAGAUAGUGUUCCUAGGAAAUUAAAUACCCUCUUCCCCCUUGUUUCACCAAACUUUAUGUAUUUUGAGAAACCAAAUAACCAUUUCAGUGAUUUCUAUAUUUUUUUUCUUUUUAAAAACAUUAAAUCUGCUCUGUGAUAUCACCAAAACAACCCAACAAGAUUUAUUAAAUGUCUUCUAUAAGAAAGGUACUGUUUUGAGUAUUAUGAAUAUAAAAGAAGAAAAUAAAAUAAUCUUGCCCUUGUGGAGCUUAUAUUCUAUGAGGGGGAGUGAAGGGAUACAGAUGAGUAGAUAGAUAGAUACAUGAGAAUUUGAGGAGAGAAAAAGUAGUAAUAAGAGAAUCAGAAAAAACCUCACUUAAAAAGAUGACAGACACACAAGGCAAAAAAUGUGGCUUGAAGCCAGAUGGAGUUUUGAGUAUGGGAGUCACAUGUUUUUCACCACCAAUGCAUAUCUUUGUUCUUAUGAUAUUCAUGAGUACAAAUCCAAAAGGAAGUGUAAUUAAAAAAGAACCCAAAGUGUUAUAAGACUUAGGGCAAAACACUAUUUGUCUUUACUUUACAAUACUCAUUUACAAGGAUGGUGGUGACUGCAAAAGACCCCAGUAAAUUGGAACAAUGUUAAUUGUGAAACUGAACUUGGAAGUUCAUUCAAGAAUAUACAUUAGUUACUGUAUUCUCUCUGACUCUCUCCCAACAAGUCACUGGGUGAAUUAAAUCUUUUCAUUAUCAUUUUAUCUUUACUUCCCAUAGGUGUCUUAAUACAUAAUUGCAUAAUUUAUAUAGAUACAGACAUUCUUAAACUGAGUAUCUCUAUGAUUACAGAAAACUGAAAAUCUAGAAUAAUACAUAAAAAAAUCUUCAUUAGAGUUGGAUAGACCUUCAUUUAAGCUCUGACUCCAACACAUACUAGUUAUGGAACUCUAUCAAGUCACUUAACACUUCAAUAACCCAGGAAUUUCUCUAAUAUUAGAAAGUAAUAGAUAAGAUGGUGGAAGAAAUCUUUACACUGGAAAAGCCUUAUGCACUAAUGAUUAAAUCUAUAUGACAAAUCUAUAGUUUCUAUCCACCUCUUUCAGUCAAGAAUUGUUAUUAUAAGAAACUAAUAAUUGUAAAUAAAUAUACAUUGUAUAUGUAUAUAUAUAUAUUAUAUAUACAUAUACAUAUAAAAGCACAAGGGCACCUUGUAAUAACAACUCAGAAACACUUUAUUUAACCCCUAAGAAUAUCCCUGUCUACAAAAUACCAAAAGAGCUGGCCAAAGCAGCUAAUAAUUCAGUUAAUUUCCAAAACUAUCUGGUUGUUUUAUUUUUGUUUUGUUUUGUUUUACAAAGCAGUCAGUUUAUUUUUACUUUUCAACUAGUUUUCUUGGCAUGAUUAUAACACAUGUAAUUUCAUCAGUGCAUUUUGCUUGACAUACCAAUGGAAUGUGAGAAGCUCAAUUUCUAAGAAAACCCUAUGCAAAUGAAGUGUCCUCUUUCAGAUACUAUUUGAGGGUAAUUCAUACAAGCCCACACAGAGAACCUCAGACAAGCACAAAGUUCAGCUGACGGCCUUUACAUGGGCUUGUACCUUCCAUGUUAUUAUCAGAUUGAACCAUGUAUUUGGAAAAAAACAAAAACAAAACAACAAUAACAAAAACCCUUGCAAAUGAGUAUAUCCAUUUGCAAGCCUACUUCUAUCCCUUAACCUCCUCUGGGGAAAAUAACCAUAGGAGAACUGCUUUUUAAAACCAUGAGAUGUUCUAAUAAAAGUGAAGAAAAUUUUGCAGAAAGUCUUUGAUUAUUCAAAUAGUUGGCACAGAAUACAAACUUUUCACUUCCCUUCAAUUGUCCUAUUAUCCAUUUUCUUGAUUCAUCUGUUUCCCUCCUAAAGAUAAAAUAAAUAAAUUCAAAUAAAUUCUUCUUACAGGAGAAUGUUUCUAAGGAAAACAAAAAAAAAUGCUAAGAAAAAAACCCACUCAGAUUUGUUAUUCUGUCCCUAAGAAAUCAUCCUUCACCCUUCAUACGAAUGGAUGUAUCUUUUUUAAUGCCUGUUUAGUUUAAAUCCUUAUGGAAUCAGGGCACAUGAAUGACAAAAGCCUUAAUUACAUUAUUUAUUGACUAAAAGGACAAAUUUAUCAUUAGUAUCCUAAUAUAUAACUUGACGGUGAUUCAUUUCCAAAAACCCCAUUUUAUGGUCCAUGUCCCUAAGUGAAGUCUAUUUUAAAUCAGUCACGUAGCAUUACUUUGGUGCUGAUGACUGAUUUCCAUCUUAUUUUUAUAAUGGUUUGGUUUCUAAAAGUCACAAAUCUCAAAGCUUGAUGAAAUAAUUCAAAACCUGAAAAACAACAAUAACAAGUGUUCUGUAAAUUUUGAACUUUUGUUCUUGGUCAAAUGGCUACUUUUCUACCAUGUCAUAAUCAACAAAGCACUUGGAUUACUUUUUGUUUUCAAUUUUAAUAUAGGUUUUCUUUGAUGGUCUUUUUUAAAGAAGAAUCAUUAUCACUUCAAAUUGAUUCACCCCCCCCCACCCCAUCUCUCAUCUCCAGUAGAGUUUCCUUUGCCACAAACAAAUAAAAUUAGGCAAGCAAAACAUUUUCCAUGUCUGACAACAUACAUGCCUCAUUCAUCACCAUUAGUCUAUAACUUCUAUGAUGAAAGAGGCAUUCUUUCACCAUAGCCACUGUAGUUUGCUUAAUAAAUACCAAGAUAUAUAUAUAUAUAUAUAUAUAUAUAUAUAUACACAUAUAUAUGCAUUAUAUACUUAUAUACACAUACAUAUAUAUACACAUGUAUACAUAUAUGCAACAUAGAUCAUCUUCUUUAACUAUCACACACACAAGUAAUAGAUCUCAAUCUAUUUUUUAAAGACAAAGACCAUAUUGAUGAAAUAAUCUAGAGAUACUCCAAUGUAUUUUGCCCACGAUUAAUGAACUUCUUAUCCAUCUGUCAAUGUUUCUUGGACCAUUGUGCUUUUUUCACCAUGGACACAAGAUUCUGAAUUUCAUUAAUAAUUUCAGAGUAGUGAUCUCUAUGGAGGCCUUGCUCACAUUACUUUUUCUGACCUCAUUCUAGCACUGGAUGACUUAGCCAAUGCUGGGUCAAUUUGUUGCACAUUGAUGUAUACCAAGUGACACCCACUGAAUUACCUCUUCUUUCCCAAUGUAGUUCACUUGUACAUAAGUGUAAUGUCCAAUUGUUUACAGGUUCUCUUGUGUGUAAUUGUGGAUGCAUUUCUAAUGCAAAUUGUCAAAGAAAUCAGUUUUUCUGGAAGGCAUUAAAAUUGAAUGUGCUUAUUACAGUAUAGACAUCACCAAUUAUGGACUCACUCAAAUGCAUGUAUUCAUGUUGUCAGUACCCAGAAAAUGGAGCGGUUAUUUGGCAAUUGUCUUCAGUCUGUGAAUAACAAAUAUACACAACUGCUGUGACUUUAAUUACUCAGUAACUGUUUUGUUUUUCCUUUUUUUUUUUUAACUGUGGUAUGUAACACUAUAGCUUUUAGUCUGCUGUAUUUCCUUCCUAUCUAUUUGUUUCUGAGAGAAAAGUGUGAUUAAAAAAUAAUAAUGCCCUUUAUCCCACUGGAAUUGCACAUGGGAUGGGUGAUCAUUGAUCCAACUAGAAAGCAACCUGUCUUUUAUUGAACCAAUGGCUCUAGGCGGUAUAUAAAUAUAUACAUAACUAUGUAUAUAAUAUCUACAAUUCCAAUUAUUAUCAUUCCAUCCUACUCUCACUUCCAAUGGAAAAAAAUCUGCUAUUUUGUUUAGAAUUGCUGAUAGAUUAUGAGGAGACUCAUUUGUUAUUAUUAACAACUUCCAUAUCUUGUUUAGUUAUUAUAGUAUGGUAAAUGAUACAGAUAUGGUAUCAGUAUUGUGAAAUUGUGUGGUUGAAACUACAAAAUGCAUUUGUGGAUAUAUUCUAAAGGACAGAUCAGAAACUGUCUCUUCUAACUGAAAUAUAUUACAGAAUAUCUUGUGAAUAUAAUUACAGAAAUUGGUAACUAUUUUUGUGUCC
Molecule: long non-coding RNA, 8629 nt
Organism: Sarcophilus harrisii (Tasmanian devil)
Lineage: Eukaryota; Metazoa; Chordata; Mammalia; Dasyuromorphia; Dasyuridae
Source: Ensembl